Molecule: ribosomal RNA, 805 nt
Filed under: Escherichia coli
Lineage: Bacteria; Pseudomonadati; Pseudomonadota; Gammaproteobacteria; Enterobacterales; Enterobacteriaceae
Description: partial 23S ribosomal RNA
Rfam family: Bacterial large subunit ribosomal RNA
Source: RNAcentral
CGGGACACGUGGUAUCCUGUCUGAAUAUGGGGGGACCAUCCUCCAAGGCUAAAUACUCCUGACUGACCGAUAGUGAACCAGUACCGUGAGGGAAAGGCGAAAAGAACCCCGGCGAGGGGAGUGAAAAAGAACCUGAAACCGUGUACGUACAAGCAGUGGGAGCCUCUUAAUGGGGUGACUGCGUACCUUUUGUAUAAUGGGUCAGCGACUUAUAUUCUGUAGCAAGGUUAACCGAAUAGGGGAGCCGAAGGGAAACCGAGUCUUAACUGGGCGUUAAGUUGCAGGGUAUAGACCCGAAACCCGGUGAUCUAGCCAUGGGCAGGUUGAAGGUUGGGUAACACUAACUGGAGGACCGAACCGACUAAUGUUGAAAAAUUAGCGGAUGACUUGUGGCUGGGGGUGAAAGGCCAAUCAAACCGGGAGAUAGCUGGUUCUCCCCGAAAGCUAUUUAGGUAGCGCCUCGUGAAUUCAUCUCCGGGGGUAGAGCACUGUUUCGGCAAGGGGGUCAUCCCGACUUACCAACCCGAUGCAAACUGCGAAUACCGGAGAAUGUUAUCACGGGAGACACACGGCGGGUGCUAACGUCCGUCGUGAAGAGGGAAACAACCCAGACCGCCAGCUAAGGUCCCAAAGUCAUGGUUAAGUGGGAAACGAUGUGGGAAGGCCCAGACAGCCAGGAUGUUGGCUUAGAAGCAGCCAUCAUUUAAAGAAAGCGUAAUAGCUCACUGGUCGAGUCGGCCUGCGCGGAAGAUGUAACGGGGCUAAACCAUGCACCGAAGCUGCGGCAGCGACACUAUGUGUUGUU